Molecule: ribosomal RNA, 542 nt
Filed under: uncultured Chlorobiota bacterium
Lineage: Bacteria; Pseudomonadati; Chlorobiota
Description: bacterial SSU rRNA
Rfam family: Bacterial small subunit ribosomal RNA
Source: RNAcentral
UGAGGAAUAUUUGCGCAAUGGACGGAAGUCUGACGCAGCAAUGCCGCGUGCGGGAAGAAGGCGCUAUGCGUCGUAAAAACGCUGUAGCGUGGGGCAAAAAGCGCCUUAGGGGCGUUAGAUGGUACCACGAAAGUAAGCAUCGGCUAACUACGUGCCAGCAGCCGCGGUAAUACGUAGGAUGCAAGCGUUGUCCGGAUUUACUGGGUGUAAAGGGUGCGCAGGCGGGCUUGUAAGUCAGAGGUGAAAGCCCGGAGCUUAACUCCGGAAAUGCCUUUGAUACUGCAAGUCUUGAAUCUGAUAGAGGCUCAUGGAAUAUGUGGUGUAGCGGUGAAAUGCGUAGAUAUCACAUAGAACACCGGUGGCGAAGGCGGUGAGCUGGGUCAGUAUUGACGCUCAUGCACGAAAGCGUGGGGAGCAAACAGGAUUAGAUACCCUGGUAGUCCACGCCGUAAACGAUGUAUGCUUGAUGUUGGGGCGGUAGCGUCUCAGUGUCGAAGGAAAUCCGAUAAGCAUACCACCUGGGAAGUACGAUCGCAAGGUUG